UGGUAUUAAAGAUCUUUGAUACAUAUUUAUGGCCAAGGAAUCUAAUUAAUAAUGCCUUUUAACUAGCCAUUUAGUUUGAGGUCCCGAAUUGUCACAAAAUUAUCAUUAUAGAUAUUUAAAUUUCAAUUACAUCACUAAUAGGUUGCCCUCCUAAAAUUAUCAGAGCUUUCCUCUCUUUACUUUUCAAUACCCUCGAUAAAGGCACCCCCCAAUCAUCUUUUCUAGCUCCAAUGAUUGAUGCAAAUA
This 246-nucleotide long non-coding RNA is filed under the name Elaeis guineensis (African oil palm). RNAcentral's name for it is "long non-coding RNA (EGUI_LNC018796)". The record is from RNAcentral. Lineage: Eukaryota; Viridiplantae; Streptophyta; Magnoliopsida; Arecales; Arecaceae.